UUUGUGUGGACAUGUAUUUUUAUUUCUCCAAGAUAGAUACCUAGGAGUGAAAUUUAUUAGGUUAUAUGGUAACUCCAUGUUUAACUGAUCGAGUAACUGCUAGAUGUUUUCCAAAGUGGCUAUGCCAUUUUACAUUUCCACCAGUAGUGUAUAUGAAUUCCAAUUUCUCCAGUUGUUAUUAUCUGACAUUUUUACUUUAGCCAUCCUAGUGAGCAUGAAGAAGUAUCUCAUUGUGGUUUUGAUUUGCAUUUCCGUGAUGGCUAAUGAUGUGGAGUAACUUUUCAUGUAUAUAUUGACCAUUUGAUUUAGAUGUGCUAUUUUAAAUAUUUUGAUUUUCUUGACUAUAGGCCACAUUUUCUUAUUUGUUCCUUGACUCAGGGUCUUAAAAGACAAAAAUUAAGGUAUUGGCUGAUCUGUGUUGUCAUCUAGAACUCUGGGUCCUCUUCCAAGUUCAUGUGAUUGUGACAGAAUUCAGUUCCCUGUGGUUGUAUGACUAAGACCCCCAUUUCCUUGCUGCCUGUCAAUUAGUGGCGACUCUCAGCUCCCAGAGGCCACCUGCAUUUCUUGCCACAUAGCCCUCUCCAUUUUGAAGCUAGAAUGGGGAACAUUUUAUGCAUUAGAUCUCCCUCAUGCUUUUACUCUCUGGCUUCUUCUGGCCCACCUGAAUAACCUCCUUAUCUACAGUCAACUGAUUUAGGAUAUCUACAAAAUUCCUUUCCAGGAGUACCUAGGAUUUGUGUUUGACUGAAUAACUGGACAAAGGUGUAUGUACACUAGGAACUGGAAAUGAUAGGGUCAUCUUCAAAUUCUGCUUAUGGCAAUCAGUGUUGCUCUACCAGUUUUUUAUUUUGUUAGUGACAGCCUAGUGUAUUUUUUUCUAUAAUAGUAUGUUUUCUGUACUCUCAGGUUUAAAUGUCUUCUUAACAACAGAUUAACAGCUGGAUUUAAGAAAGUAACAUUUUUGGAAUCUCCAGUGUGUAUCUGGUGAAUUUACCUCACUUAGUGAUUACUGACAUAUUUAGAAUUAUUUUUUUUAAUCAUUUUUUGUGCUUCCGUUUACUCUUUUUUUUUUUUUUUCUCUUUACCACUUCUCUCCCCUUCUACUGGUUUGGUAGUUAUAUAUUCUGUCAGUGGCUUUCGUAAAAUUAAUGAUUUUAUUAACCAGUCUAAAGUUAAUCAGUAUAUUUGUUCUCCAGACAAAUAAGACAGGAACCUUAAAAUUAUGUUAAUUCUAAUUAUCUCACUUUAUUCUUAGAGAAAAAAAUGGAUUUCUUAUACAUUAAUGAUAGUCUGCUAACAGAUUUCUCAUCAGCAUCAGCAGAAUACAGCAAAGAAAUAUCAUCUAAGAGUUGAGGUAAAUGAACUGUUGGUUAAAAGUCAAUAACCAAUGAAAAUAUCAUUCAAGGGCAAAACUCACAGAUUCUUCCCAAGGGAACACUAAUGAUAUACUUCAGUCACAGGAAAACAAUAUGGAAGAGUGGGAUAUGGAGAAAAGAAGAGUGGAGAAGCUAAGUAUCAAACUUGUGUGAGGCACACAGCUAAAGACGACAGCUAGGAGAAUGUCCUCUUGCUCAGAAAUGGCAUGGGACUCAAAAAGCAAUUCUAACUAUCUGCAUUUAUUCUUUUAGCUCAUUGGUGACCGAGAGAGUGCUAAUGUCUAUGAGUUCUAGAAUGUAUAAGAAAAAUUUACUCAGGCACUAUCCUUCAAAUUAAAGAGAACAUGGAACAACAAGAGCCUAUAAAUUAUAAUAAUUUAUCUUAUUUGAAAUCCCAGUUAUGCAGCGUGAUUUUUAGUUACUAGCAUAACUACAGAAACUUUAAGAAAUUUUGAAUAACUGGUGGUGAUAUGACCAUGUUCAGAAACCAAAGGUCAAAAGAGAAGCCAAACUGAAUAAACAAAAUUGUUUUAGUAAAUAGCAAAAUGUAGAGUUCCUCUGUAUUUGGAGGUAAAUUCUAAACAAUAAAACACAUGUGAUGUUUUGUUUUUUAAAAAGAUCACCUGAUUUUGUUCUUAAACCAGGCUUACAAGCUACAAUAUAAUCUUUUUAAAUUAUAGGCAAUUACAAAAAGGCACAUUAAACUUCAGCUAAUCACAGUUGUUUCAAAAAUAUGUCCCUUCUCUUAACAAAGCAGUAACCCAGCCAAAACUUGGAUAAACUGGCAUUUCCUUAGAUCACAUGUUUCAUUCCUAAACACAAUGCCCCUUGUGUUUCUUUCAGGUGUCCAUACUUUCUCUGAAAAAUAGAUCUCCCCUUCCAAAGCUUGAGCAUUAUCUGCUCUUUGUUUGAAAAUAAAUGCAUUGUUCAUGUGUGGACUAGUAACGCAGGUGUUUUACCUCUUUUUUCCCAGUCAGGCUGAUUCUUAAGCCUUUUAUGAAAUCAGUUCAGUUUAGUCAAAUCUCUGACAUCCACUUUUUAUUGCCAUUUCCCUUUAUGGCUAAAAUACAAGCCCUAAAUACAACAAGAUCAUCUUUUAUUCCAUUAUGUUUACCUUUUUCUUCUACAGCAGUUAUCUUAGAAGAUGUUUACAUUUUUAGUUAAUAUCUCAAGUGUUGCCAACAUUCUGCUUUCUUCUCACUUCUUGAAGACUAACUCUGGGACAAGGCCAAAGUUCAGAUCAAGUAUUAAUAGUUCAAGUUGCUUUCAUUUUUCCUAAACUCCUUAAGGUACCCAGAUUUGCUCCUGUCGCUGGAAAGCACUAUCUGAAAGCUUUGCAUGAAAUUAAACUCUCUGGGUGUAACCAAACUGAAUAAAGCCAUAGAAGCAUGUAUUGAAGCAACUCUUCCUGAGUGAGGCAUGAGAAACACUGACAUUCUUAACACAGCAAGCAUUGGUGUUGGGUGUCAGGUAACUGAUUCUGUCUUCUGAAAUACAGAGUUUCAACCCCUCAUUUUAUUUCCAAACAAGCACUUUUAUGUUACUCUCUAGAGAAUGAAGGGGUUCUGAUCUCAGAGCAUGAGGCAUGCUAUAGCUGAGAAGGGAAAAAGGGGAGCAGAAUUACUUGAAGACUUCAUCUCUUCAAUGCAGAGGAUAGUAACUGAUAUUACUUACCAAAGUAUCUCUUUUCUAGCUAUGUAACAUGAAGUUUCAAGCAAUUUUUGUCCUUCAUGUCUUAAUUGCGUAUAUAAUCUCCCUUUUCCUGUCAUUUACUAUACUAAAGUAUACUUCAGUAAAAUACAGUACGUAUUUUAGGUUUUUAUCAUUUUUUUCAUGUCUAAGAGGUUUAGCAAUUUCAUCUUUUAUUAUAAAUGUUAGAAGAUUUAUAUGAAAAUAGUAAAUAAUCAUUAAAUAGUCUAGCUUCUUUUUCUAAUUACAGUGUUUUUCUUAAUAUCAAUGUAUUGAAUGCUUUGUUGAUUAAAAGGGAGAAUGUAACACAUCCAUAGUGUAUAUUAUUGCUUCUUUGUCAAAUUUGCCAAAUGUAACUAAUGUGAACUUAUUCAUAAAACACACUAUGCUGUUAUGAGUGGCUGCAGAGUUCCUUUACAAUGUUGUAGCUUCAUUUUAAAAACAAGUGCACAUUUCUUCAGUUGUCUGAAAAGCAUUUUGUAGGAAUUAGAAAUCAAUUUUGAAGUGAAUUUUACUCUAUAUUUUAAGGUUGAUAAUUCAGAAUAAUUUAAACCAAAGUUGGGUGUUUAUAUUUUACACUGGCAAUACUCUGUAACGCUGGGUGCUAUAGUUCAUGUGGACAAUAAGAUGGAACUCAGCAUUAUGUGAAGAUAUUAAGGAGAUUUUACUUACAAGGAGGUACAUGACCCUGGCCUCGAGGAAAGUGUUAAUCAAGACAUUUGAGUGUUUAGAGAUUGUGAUAUCAAUGGCUGAAGUAAAUUUGUAAAGCAUAAAUAUAAUAUGGAACCUCCACUCAAGCAUAAUCUCAGCUUUCUUCAGUUAUUCUUAAGCACAGGGUCACUUAUUUAUUUAUGCUUGAGUCAGCUGAUUUAAAAACUCUUAUUUCAUAUCCCCUUGGGACAGCUAAAGAAAGCUUUUUUCACUACACGUGUGGGAAACAGCACUCUGAAAUCCCUUGCUUGAAAUGGAGAAAGGAAACAAAAACCCUCUGUAUUUCCAGCAUUUUGAAGUUCAAAUUUGUAAACACAAUGUAUCCAAAGUUUCUAAAGUUUUACUGAAGCGGUAAAUUCACUAGGUAAAUUGAUUUAACAAUUUUUUUUUCAAUUUUAACUUUAUUGAGGAAUAAUGUAUGCAUAAUAAACUGCAUGUGUUUAAAGUG
Molecule: long non-coding RNA, 4224 nt
Organism: Cebus imitator (Panamanian white-faced capuchin)
Lineage: Eukaryota; Metazoa; Chordata; Mammalia; Primates; Cebidae
Exons: 2
Source: RefSeq, a predicted model, not a curated record